RNAcentral lists this ribosomal RNA (254 nucleotides) under uncultured Aminobacterium sp. RNAcentral's name for it is "partial 16S ribosomal RNA". It matches the Rfam family "Bacterial small subunit ribosomal RNA", at positions 796 to 1041 of the family's 1533-position model. Lineage: Bacteria; Thermotogati; Synergistota; Synergistia; Synergistales; Aminobacteriaceae. The record is from RNAcentral.
CUGGCCGUAAACGAUGAAUGCUAGGUGUGUGUGUAGAGAUACAUGCGUGCCGGAGUUAACGCGAUAAGCAUUCCGCCUGGGGAGUACGGUCGCAAGAUUGAAACUCAAAGGAAUUGACGGGGGCCCGCACAAGCGGUGGAGCACGUGGUUUAAUUCGAUGCAAACCGAAGAACCUUACCUGGGUUUGACAUGUACGUGGUACGGAUAUGAAAGUUGAAGGACCUUUUCUUCGGAAGGGGAGCGUACACAGGUGC